Molecule: long non-coding RNA, 4387 nt
Organism: Equus caballus (horse)
Lineage: Eukaryota; Metazoa; Chordata; Mammalia; Perissodactyla; Equidae
Source: Ensembl
AUGAAACCCCACAUUUUACGGGGGAUUGUCAGAAGUGCUUAGAUGUGGAUUCCUAACAUCUGUGAGGUCAUUUGUGACUUUCUCCCUGGAGGCAACCUUCCCUCCCUUUGCCAAAGGGCAAGGUCUGUGGCCUGAGUCCCAGCUGCCUUCCCAGCGUGUGCCAGCCCCUCCCACCACCUUUGCCCUUGGUUGUGUCUGAGAUCCACCCUUUGUAGGGUUGGAGCAACCAGGAGCACCUUGGGAAUCGUGCUGCUGUCACCUGAAUGAUGACUCUAAAUGUCUCCAGAACAACCAGCCACUGUGGAAUUCUCAGGCCCGGUUUCUCAGGGGUCAGCAUGUUCAGAUGGCUGAGCGCUUUGAAGGUUGAAGAAGCCUGGGUGACAGUGCCAGGAGAGGACACCCUUCUCUUCACCAGUUGCCGUGGACAAAGAAUUGGAAGAGAAUAUGGAAUCAGCUGGAGGUUCAAGUGGUGGGGACUCUUUUGGGGUCAGUGUCCUUUGCUGCUUGUUCUGGGGAAAGCAAGUCAGAGGUAUGAGGCUCUUGGGCUUCUCCUGCCACCACCCAGCAUCCCUGGCUGCAGGCUCUGUCCCUCAGCCCAGCCCCGAGGGAGGCGGUGGUGGCUCUUUCCAGAGAUGCCCCCACCACUACCCCAAUGGUAUUCACGCCCCAGUGUAGGUCCUGUCCCUUUCUCUUGAAUCUGGGCUGGCUCUGUGACUUGCUUAUUGCCAAUGGAAUGUGGUAGAAGCAAGGCUACACGACUUCCACGUCAAAAGCAGCCUUGCAGUGGCUGCCUUGGUCUUCUGGAACAGCCUCUGGGAGCCCUGAGCUGCUGUGUAGAAGUCCGACUACCUGAGGCUGCCGUGCUGGAGAGACCUGCUACAGGUGCUCCAGUAGACACUCGCCACCAAGCCCAGCCUGCUUGCCACCAGGCCACCGGACAGUGAGGGAAGCUGUUCUGGACCUUCUGCAAUGGCCCAUCUACCAGCUGAAUGCUGUCAAGUGACCUCAGUCAGGGUCACGCAGGGCAGAAGGAUCACCCAGCUGUGCAGUGCCUGCAUGAACUCCUGACCACGAAACCAUGAGACACGGUAAGUGUUUUAAGCCACUAAGUUUGGGGAAGAUUUGUCACACGGUAAUGGAUGAUACAGGAGAGGCUCUCGAGUUCUGUUCUUCUCAGGUGGAUCCAACCUGAGCUCUUGUCCCAGGAGAACCAGUCCCUGCUGCAGCUGCCCCUCAGCCCCAGAGAUGCCCUGGAGGAGGGCCCUGGCUGACUGUCCAGGGCUUGCCUGGACCCCCAUUACAGGGCAGGAUCUGUACCUUUGGGUCAAAGUAUCUCAUUUACUCAUUCAUUCAUUCAUUCAAAAGAUACUGAGAGCCCCUGUGUGCCAGGCUGUGUUUUGGGCUCUGUGGAGAUAACAAUGAACAAGACAAGUUCCUCUGAAGCUUACUUUCUAGUGAUAGAAACAGAUAAUAGACAAGUAGAUAAUAGAAUUUCAGAGAGAGAGAGAGCUAAGUGCUUUUAAGAAAAUAAAGCCAAGAAGGGAAAUACAGACUCUUCUGAGCAUCUGAUAAAAAGUAAGGAAUUUCUCUUCCAAAAUGUACGGUAUCACACACACACACACAAUUUAGCAUGUAAUUGGGGGGAAUUUAUUCUCCCUGAAGUCCGUCUCUUGGAUCUCUGGGGGCUAUGGAUUCCAGGUUAAGAACAACUGAGAGAGAACCGCUGUGGGGGACACAGGUGAAGUCAAGGAUCCCCACAGGUGGAAUGUGCCACCCCCUCACCAAUGGUUCUGUGAGGAGGUGGUGUCAACCAGGUAACAAACUAGCCCUGUGCCUGUGCGAUGCUCUCAGUCUGGUGCGCGAAAGAUGUGCAAACUGGAAAUGGACCUGGUGGUUAAUCUCAAGGCCGUGCGCACAUGACAGGUGCCUGAGGAAACCCUGCCAGCCGCAUGGCCCAGCUCUGAGGCCCACUGGGGGCCAUGCAGUGAAGUGUUGCUUCAUGCAGCUUCUCACCUAGUCCUCACAAGGGGCCUCUGGUGGAGGAAUCCUGUUGGGCUCGUUUGCAGAGAAGCCACAGAGAAGGUGAGUAACUUCCCUCUUGGUGGGGCUGGACGCUGGGAGGCAGGCUGGGCCAGCCCAGGGUGUGAUUUGAAGGCUGGGAUGGGAAAUAACAUUUGCAGGUGCCUGUGAUGCUCCAGACAGGGUGCAGGUGGCUCCCACACAUUAUGUCAUCUACUCUUCACAACCCUGAAUGCCUUAGAGAUGAGGCCUCUGAGGCCCUGACAGGACAGGAAACCUCCCCAACUCACCACUAGUAAGCCAAGAUUCUAAAGCCGUUUUCACAGCCAGUCCGCCCUGGCCCCUCCUCAUGUUAUGGGUUGUCUAUGGGCAUUGCCCGCCCGCCGCACCGCCCCCAGAUCACUGGGUCAGAACAAAGCAGAAGAGCCAAGCCCCACACUGGCCGCCCUUGCCUGGGCCGCAUGCAGGCCACCUGCUGGGCAGCUCCCAGGCCCUCUGAACUGGGCAGCAAACCACGGGCAAGGCCGAGCCCAUUCUGGAGCUUACACAAGGCUCUCUCUGUUCUGGAAGCAAUUCAGAGACGGCAGCCAUCCCGUGCUCCCCGGUGAAAUGAGGGAGUGUUUGCUCCUGCUGUGAGCUGAUUUUCGGUGGCCUGAUCAGCAGCAGCUUGCUCUUAGUAAAACAAACAGCCUCAUGUGAAAAAACCUUCGUCCAGUUACAUCCAGGAUCAACAGGGGAGGGGUCUGAAGGUACCGCACCCCACUCCACCCGCCCGGCUCCCCUCCCUUGGCUGCUGAGGGUGGAAUCCCAUUUAAACAAUUGCCUGAGCCAGAAGGAACAUUUGAGUCAUUAAUUUCCUGCUCGCUGUGAGAGAAGGCGCACGGAGCUGGCCCAGGCAAGGCCCUUGUGCCCAUUUGUCUUCACACCGUCACUCUGAGUGAGACUCAGGGAGAGCCGUGGAGCCCUUGGAAAUACGGGGACUUAUUCUAGCCACGAUUCCCAGGCCAGAGGAUUGGCAUGGCAAAUGGACAUUAAGGGGAGCUGUUUGGUGAGAAGCCCUCUAAGUCAGAGAUAGAGCCCGAGGUUCUGUCCAGGGCUCUCUCAGCACCCUGCCCGGUGACUUCCAUCAUUCCCUCAUUUGUCUCUUCAUCCCUUCAUUCAUCACAUCCAUACCGAAUGGCCGCUGGGGGCUAGUCUUUGUUACAGACGUCUCGGUUUUCUCCAGCAGAGCCAACCUGCUGGAGGUGAGGCCCAGCUCUUCAAAUAAGUGAGGCUGUUGGCAGCUUCGGCAUCCUGCAAGGGAAGCUGGAGGCUGUCCUUGAGGCAGAAUCGCCCCUGUCCUGGCAGCAGCAGCUCUGGUGGCUUUCUAUGUGGUUGUAUACCCGAAGCAAAUCCAGACUCCCUGCUCUCAGGGCAGCCCUGAGCCUGCAAGAGGACACACAGACCCAGAUUCUUUAAAAAAUAACGGCUUUGAGGCCGACCCGGUGGUGCAGCAGGUGGAAGGAGAAAACAAACACGGCUGUUAGAGGAGUUUGUGCUCUAACAGAACAGAUUCAUGCACCCGUGACAUGAAGACGUGGACCAGAGCUGGACCCCUAUUGAGGACAUGUUAGCUGGAGUUCUAGCAUCCCUCUUGAGACCUGAGACAACCUCAAAGUUGGAAGCUGUGGUCUUAGGAGAGUGGAGCAGAAGCUAGAAGGAGCCGGGGUCUCUGAUGAGACAGUGGGGCCACCAUGCCAGCCACGGGCUACCCACCUCCAACUACUCUUCCGCCAUGAGAAGAAGCCUGGACUAGCCUGCUGAGGAUGAGAGACCGACCACAUAGAGCAGAAUACACACAGGGAGAAGAUGUCCAUGUGAAGACACAGAGACGCAGGGAGAAUGCUAUGUGAAGACAGAGCAGAGACUAGAGUGGUCCAUCUACAAGCCAAGGAACACCAAGAAUUGCCAGCAACCACCAGAAGCUUGGAGUGAAAUGUGGAAUAAGUUCGCUCUCAGAGCCUCCAGUAGGAACUAACCUUGACUGUGGACUUCUAAUCUCCAGAACUAUGAGAGAAUAAAUUUAUGUUGUUUGAGUCACUCGGUUUGUGGUACUUUGUUACAGCAGCCGCAGGAAAUUAAUACACUUGGCCACACCUGGAUGCAAGAGGAAAUGUAGUCCCACGUUCCAGUGAAAACUCCAUACUGUGAUGGUUAGUUUUGUAUGCCAGCUGGACAGGGCCAUAAGGCGCCCAGAUAUUUGACUAAAACAUAAUUCUGGGCAUGUCUGUGAGAUGUUUCUGGAUGAGAUUAACAUCUGAAGUAGCAGACUGAGUAAAUCAUAUGGCCCUCCCUGAUUUGUGUGUGGGGGUCUCAUCCAAUCAGUUGA